This 484-nucleotide ribosomal RNA is filed under the name uncultured bacterium. RNAcentral's name for it is "partial 16S ribosomal RNA". It matches the Rfam family "Bacterial small subunit ribosomal RNA", at positions 30 to 507 of the family's 1533-position model. The record is from RNAcentral.
AUUGAACGCUGGCGGCAGGCCUAACACAUGCAAGUCGAGCGGAUGAAGGGAGCUUGCUCCUGGAUUCAGCGGCGGACGGGUGAGUAAUGCCUAGGAAUCUGCCUGGUAGUGGGGGAUAACGUCCGGAAACGGGCGCUAAUACCGCAUACGUCCUGAGGGAGAAAGUGGGGGAUCUUCGGACCUCACGCUAUCAGAUGAGCCUAGGUGGGAUUAGCUAGUUGGUGGGGUAAAGGCCUACCAAGGCGACGAUCCGUAACUGGUCUGAGAGGAUGAUCAGUCACACUGGAACUGAGACACGGUCCAGACUACUACGGGAGGCAGCAGUGGGGAAUAUUGGACAAUGGGCGAAAGCCUGAUCCAGCCAUGCCGCGUGUGUGAAGAAGGUCUUCGGAUUGUAAAGCACUUUAAGUUGGGAGGAAGGGCAGUAAGUUAAUACCUUGCUGUUUUGACGUUACCAACAGAAUAAGCACCGGCUAACUUCGUG